This 253-nucleotide ribosomal RNA is filed under the name uncultured bacterium. RNAcentral describes it as "partial 16S ribosomal RNA". It matches the Rfam family "Bacterial small subunit ribosomal RNA", at positions 524 to 776 of the family's 1533-position model. The record is from RNAcentral.
UACGAGGGGUGCAAGCGUUGCUCGGAAUUAUUGGGCGUAAAGGGUAGGUAGGCGGUCUCAUUUGUCCGGGGUGAAAGCCUUGAGCUUAACUCAAGAAGUGCCCCGGAAACGGUGAGACUCGAGUACUGGAGAGGGUCGUGGAAUUCCCGGUGUAGCGGUGAAAUGCGUAGAGAUCGGGAGGAACACCAGAGGCGAAGGCGGCGACCUGGACAGUUACUGACACUCAACUACGAAAGCGUGGGGAGCAAACAGG